GUCUGCGGCCAUACCAUCCUGAACGCGCCCGAUCUCCUCUGAUCUUGGAAGCUAAGCAGGGUCGGGCCCGCUUAGUACUUGGAUGGGAGCAAUGCUCUCUCCCAGCACAGGGACAAGGUGAGGUGAGUA
This 129-nucleotide ribosomal RNA is filed under the name Prolemur simus (greater bamboo lemur). The record is from RNAcentral. Lineage: Eukaryota; Metazoa; Chordata; Mammalia; Primates; Lemuridae.